GCACCGACCCUGGGCUCUUUAUACUUGGUGCCACUGGCCACCGACCCACCCCUUUCCCUCCUCCUCUACCCCUCCCCCGAGGAGAGGGAGGGAGGGGCGAGACCCUGAUUGACCCGCGGGCCUCGGCCACGCGCGCACUUGGGGACCUCACUAUGCACGCGGCGGUGCCGGACCGGGACGUGCUCAGGGGAGCCUCCCCCUGAGCAUCCUCACGUGACUGCUUCUGCCCAGAACCUUCAUCCUGGGCCUCCACCUUGGGCUCACCAAGCUCAGCGCCCCUUCGGUGGCACAAACCUGGAAAAGUCUGGAAAUCAUCUAUAUAGGCUGAAGACUCAUGCCCAGCAGAGGAAUCUUGGAAGUCCACAGUGGAAGAGAUCUGAGAGGAAGCCAUACUGUGGGCUAUCAAGGACUUUUUUAGAAGCAGACACUUUAUCUGUGAAUAUUUUCAAGUGACAUUCUUUGUCUACUGUACUGAGGUCAUUGAGGUAGGUAUAUUUUACAUAUUUGCUCCAGGCAUCCAGAAGGGUUGACAUAUGUAGGUGUGAUGAGCAGGAAAAUGAAGAGUGAAAGGAAGGGAAAAGAAGAAUAACUCUUUCUUGAAGCAAAGUUUCAUUAAAGAACUAUAAGUAGAAGCUGUUGUUUUGUCUGCAGACUAUUCCUGAGAUGUCUGGAAUUCAUAAAAAAAAUUCUAGGAAGUUUGAUAGUUUCUUAGC
RNAcentral lists this long non-coding RNA (713 nucleotides) under Phascolarctos cinereus (koala). RNAcentral describes it as "lncRNA (ENSPCIG00000009613.2)". The record is from RNAcentral. Lineage: Eukaryota; Metazoa; Chordata; Mammalia; Diprotodontia; Phascolarctidae.